GGGGAAUUUUGGACAAUGGGGGCAACCCUGAUCCAGCCAUCCCGCGUGUGCGAUGAAGGCCUUCGGGUUGUAAAGCACUUUUGGCAGGGAAGAAAAGCCACGGGAUAAUACCCUGUGGUGCUGACGGUACCUGUAGAAUAAGCACCGGCUAACUACGUGCCAGCAGCCGCGGUAAUACGUAGGGUGCAAGCGUUAAUCGGAAUUACUGGGCGUAAAGCGUGCGCAGGCGGUUUGGCAAGAAGGAUGUGAAAUCCCGGGGCUUAACCUCGGAACUGCAUUCUUAACUGCCAGGCUAGAGUAUGUCAGAGGGGGGUAGAAUUCCACGUGUAGCAGUGAAAUGCGUAGAGAUGUGGAGGAAUACCGAUGGCGAAGGCAGCCCCCUGGGAUAAUACUGACGCUCAUGCACGAAAGCGUGGGGAGCAAAC
This 425-nucleotide ribosomal RNA is filed under the name uncultured bacterium. RNAcentral describes it as "bacterial SSU rRNA". It matches the Rfam family "Bacterial small subunit ribosomal RNA", at positions 356 to 773 of the family's 1533-position model. The record is from RNAcentral.